GAGGGGAGAAUUAAAGUAAAAGGAGAAGAUAGGUUAAGAAAUAAAAGAGGGGAGAGAAUAAGGGUUUUUAAAAGGGUCGAAGAGCUAGCUUCAUGCUUCGGGGGGGGGGGAAAGACAAAGAUUUGGGGUAUUUUUUUUUUCAUAGGGUUUUGGGAAGACUGAGGCAAUCAUUGCUGAAGUAAGUGUUAUAUUGGUGAAUCGGGGUUUUAAUGAAGUGGAUGUAAUUACUCUUGACUGUUUUGUGA
RNAcentral lists this long non-coding RNA (245 nucleotides) under Physcomitrium patens. RNAcentral describes it as "long non-coding RNA (PPAT_LNC001534)". The record is from RNAcentral. Lineage: Eukaryota; Viridiplantae; Streptophyta; Bryopsida; Funariales; Funariaceae.